RNAcentral lists this ribosomal RNA (835 nucleotides) under uncultured bacterium. Its description in RNAcentral is "bacterial SSU rRNA". It matches the Rfam family "Bacterial small subunit ribosomal RNA", at positions 97 to 916 of the family's 1533-position model. The record is from RNAcentral.
GGCGAACGGGUGAGUAACACGUGGGCAACCUGCCCCUCGCAGGGGGACAACCGGAGGAAACUCCGGCUAAUACCCCGUACGCUUGUUGGAUCGCAUGGUCCGGCAAGGAAAGGUAGCUUCGGCCAUCCGGCGAGGGAUGGGCCCGCGUUGCAUUAGCUAGUUGGUGGGGUAACGGCCUACCAAGGCGACGAUGCGUAGCUGGUCUGAGAGGAUGAUCAGCCACACUGGGACUGAGACACGGCCCAGACUCCUACGGGAGGCAGCAGCCAGGAAUCUUGGGCAAUGGGCGAAAGCCUGACCCAGCAACACCGUGUGGGCGAUGAAGGCCUUAGGGUCGUAAAGCCCAGUUGAUAGGGACGAAGGGCGAAGGGUUAAUAGCCCCUAGCUUGACGGUACCUUUCGAGGAAGCCCCGGCUAACUACGCGCGAGCAGCCGCGGUAAUACGUAGGGGGCGAGCGUUGUCCGGAAUUAUUGGGCGUAAAGAGCGUGUAGGCGGUUCGGUAAGUCUGCUGUGAAAUCCUGGGGCUCAACCCUGGGCGUGCAGCGGAUACUGCCGGGCUAGAGGGUGGUAGAGGCGAGUGGAAUUCCGAGUGUAGCGGUGAAAUGCGCAGAUAUUCGGAGGAACACCAGUAGCGAAGGCGGCUCGCUGGGCCACACCUGACGCUGAGACGCGAAAGCGUGGGGAGCGAACAGGAUUAGAUACCCUGGUAGUCCACGCCGUAAACGAUGGAUACUGGGUGUGGGGGGAGUCGAAUCCCUCUGUGCCGAAGUUAACGCGUUAAGUAUCCCGCCUGGGGAGUACGGCCGCAAGGCUAAAACUCAAAGGAAUUGACGG